Molecule: unclassified non-coding RNA, 447 nt
Filed under: Candidatus Phytoplasma solani
Lineage: Bacteria; Bacillati; Mycoplasmatota; Mollicutes; Acholeplasmatales; Acholeplasmataceae
Description: partial contains 16S ribosomal RNA and 16S-23S ribosomal RNA intergenic spacer
Rfam family: Bacterial small subunit ribosomal RNA (bases 1-301)
Source: RNAcentral
AAAGGGGUAGCUAAAGCGUAAGCUUCUGGCGAAUCUCAAAAAAGCAGUCUCAGUUCGGAUUGAAGUCUGCAACUCGACUUCAUGAAGUUGGAAUCGCUAGUAAUCGCGAAUCAGCAUGUCGCGGUGAAUACGUUCUCGGGGUUUGUACACACCGCCCGUCAAACCACGAAAGUUGGCAAUACCCAAAGCCGGUGGCCUAACUUGAGCAAUCAAGAAGGAGCCGUCUAAGGUAGGGUUGAUGAUUGGGGUUAAGUCGUAACAAGGUAUCCCUACCGGAAGGUGGGGAUGGAUCACCUCCUUUCUAAGGAUAAAGUUAUCAUCUUCAGUUUUGAGAGACUUAAGAAAGUUUUUCAUUUUUUAAGAUUCGGGCCUAUAGCUCAGCUGGUUAGAGCACACGCCUGAUAAGCGUGAGGUCGGUGGUUCGAGUCCAUUUAGGCCCACCAAAUU